Molecule: ribosomal RNA, 3071 nt
Filed under: Campylobacter jejuni
Lineage: Bacteria; Pseudomonadati; Campylobacterota; Epsilonproteobacteria; Campylobacterales; Campylobacteraceae
Description: 23S ribosomal RNA
Rfam family: Bacterial large subunit ribosomal RNA
Source: RNAcentral
AAAAAAGGUAAGCUACUAAGAGCGAAUGGUGGAUGCCUUGACUGGUAAAGGCGAUGAAGGACGUACUAGACUGCGAUAAGCUACGGGGAGCUGUCAAGAAGCUUUGAUCCGUAGAUUUCCGAAUGGGGCAACCCAAUGUAUAGAGAUAUACAUUACCUAUAUAGGAGCGAACGAGGGGAAUUGAAACAUCUUAGUACCCUCAGGAAAAGAAAUCAAUAGAGAUUGCGUCAGUAGCGGCGAGCGAAAGCGCAAGAGGGCAAACCCAGUGCUUGCACUGGGGGUUGUAGGACUGCAAUGUGCAAGAGGUAAGUUUAGCAGAACAUUCUGGAAAGUAUAACCAUAGAGGGUGAUAGUCCCGUAUGCGAAAAACAAACCUUAGCUAGCAGUAUCCUGAGUAGGGCGGGACACGAGGAAUCCUGUCUGAAUCCGGGUCGACCACGAUCCAACCCUAAAUACUAAUACCAGAUCGAUAGUGCACAAGUACCGUGAGGGAAAGGUGAAAAGAACUGAGGUGAUCAGAGUGAAAUAGAACCUGAAACCAUUUGCUUACAAUCAUUCAGAGCCCUAUGUAGCAAUACAGGGUGAUGGACUGCCUUUUGCAUAAUGAGCCUGCGAGUUGUGGUGUCUGGCAAGGUUAAGCAAACGCGAAGCCGUAGCGAAAGCGAGUCUGAAUAGGGCGCUUAGUCAGAUGCUGCAGACCCGAAACGAAGUGAUCUAUCCAUGAGCAAGUUGAAGCUAGUGUAAGAACUAGUGGAGGACUGAACCCAUAGGCGUUGAAAAGCCCCGGGAUGACUUGUGGAUAGGGGUGAAAGGCCAAUCAAACUUCGUGAUAGCUGGUUCUCUCCGAAAUAUAUUUAGGUAUAGCGUUGUGUCGUAAUAUAAGGGGGUAGAGCACUGAAUGGGCUAGGGCAUAUACCAAUGUACCAAACCCUAUCAAACUCCGAAUACCUUAUAUGUAAUCACAGCAGUCAGGCGGCGAGUGAUAAAAUCCGUCGUCAAGAGGGAAACAACCCAGACUACCAGCUAAGGUCCCUAAAUCUUACUUAAGUGGAAAACGAUGUGAAGUUACUUAAACAACCAGGAGGUUGGCUUAGAAGCAGCCAUCCUUUAAAGAAAGCGUAAUAGCUCACUGGUCUAGUGAUUUUGCGCGGAAAAUAUAACGGGGCUAAAGUAAGUACCGAAGCUGUAGACUUGCACACAACUUAGAUUAUUUAAGUUUAGAAUAUGAGAAACUAAGUUAUAUGUUUAGUUAUAUUUUUACUGAUUUUUAUAGAGUAAAGAUAGAAAUAAAACUUAGUAAAAUCAGUAAAAAUAUUCUUAGACUAAAGUUAAGUAGUUUAAGUUGUGUGCAAGUGGUAGGAGAGCGUUCUAUUUGCGUCGAAGGUAUACCGGUAAGGAGUGCUGGAGCGAAUAGAAGUGAGCAUGCAGGCAUGAGUAGCGAUAAUUAAUGUGAGAAUCAUUAACGCCGUAAACCCAAGGUUUCCUACGCGAUGCUCGUCAUCGUAGGGUUAGUCGGGUCCUAAGUCGAGUCCGAAAGGGGUAGACGAUGGCAAAUUGGUUAAUAUUCCAAUACCAACAUUAGUGUGCGAUGGAAGGACGCUUAGGGCUAAGGGGGCUAGCGGAUGGAAGUGCUAGUCUAAGGUCGUAGGAGGUUAUACAGGCAAAUCCGUAUAACAAUACUCCGAGAACUGAAAGGCUUUUUGAAGUCUUCGGAUGGAUAGAAGAACCCCUGAUGCCGUCGAGCCAAGAAAAGUUUCUAAGUUUAGCUAAUGUUGCCCGUACCGUAAACCGACACAGGUGGGUGGGAUGAGUAUUCUAAGGCGCGUGGAAGAACUCUCUUUAAGGAACUCUGCAAAAUAGCACCGUAUCUUCGGUAUAAGGUGUGGUUAGCUUUGUAUUAGGAUUUACUCCGAAAGCAAGGAAACUUACAACAAAGAGUCCCUCCCGACUGUUUACCAAAAACACAGCACUCUGCUAACUCGUAAGAGGAUGUAUAGGGUGUGACGCCUGCCCGGUGCUCGAAGGUUAAUUGAUGGGGUUAGCAUUAGCGAAGCUCUUGAUCGAAGCCCGAGUAAACGGCGGCCGUAACUAUAACGGUCCUAAGGUAGCGAAAUUCCUUGUCGGUUAAAUACCGACCUGCAUGAAUGGCGUAACGAGAUGGGAGCUGUCUCAAAGAGGGAUCCAGUGAAAUUGUAGUGGAGGUGAAAAUUCCUCCUACCCGCGGCAAGACGGAAAGACCCCGUGGACCUUUACUACAGCUUGACACUGCUACUUGGAUAAGAAUGUGCAGGAUAGGUGGGAGGCUUUGAGUAUAUGACGCCAGUUGUAUAUGAGCCAUUGUUGAGAUACCACUCUUUCUUAUUUGGGUAGCUAACCAGCUUGAGUUAUCCUCAAGUGGGACAAUGUCUGGUGGGUAGUUUGACUGGGGCGGUCGCCUCCCAAAUAAUAACGGAGGCUUACAAAGGUUGGCUCAGAACGGUUGGAAAUCGUUCGUAGAGUAUAAAGGUAUAAGCCAGCUUAACUGCAAGACAUACAAGUCAAGCAGAGACGAAAGUCGGUCUUAGUGAUCCGGUGGUUCUGUGUGGAAGGGCCAUCGCUCAAAGGAUAAAAGGUACCCCGGGGAUAACAGGCUGAUCUCCCCCAAGAGCUCACAUCGACGGGGAGGUUUGGCACCUCGAUGUCGGCUCAUCGCAUCCUGGGGCUGGAGCAGGUCCCAAGGGUAUGGCUGUUCGCCAUUUAAAGCGGUACGCGAGCUGGGUUCAGAACGUCGUGAGACAGUUCGGUCCCUAUCUGCCGUGGGCGUAAGAAGAUUGAAGAGAUUUGACCCUAGUACGAGAGGACCGGGUUGAACAAACCACUGGUGUAGCUGUUGUUCUGCCAAGAGCAUCGCAGCGUAGCUAAGUUUGGAAAGGAUAAACGCUGAAAGCAUCUAAGCGUGAAGCCAACUCUAAGAUGAAUCUUCUCUAAGCUCUCUAGAAGACUACUAGUUUGAUAGGCUGGGUGUGUAAUGGAUGAAAGUCCUUUAGCUGACCAGUACUAAUAGAGCGUUUGGCUUAUCUUUAAUAAAGCAU